Labrus bergylta (ballan wrasse) is the source of this 510-nucleotide long non-coding RNA. RefSeq lists it as uncharacterized. The record is from RefSeq and is a predicted model, not a curated record. Lineage: Eukaryota; Metazoa; Chordata; Actinopteri; Labriformes; Labridae.
UCAUUACGUCUUACCGUGCCCUCUUCACUGUCUUUCUGGAUUUUUCCUUGACCUUGUGGUUUUGUUUUCCUCCUAUUUUUAAAGGAUUUUUUCAGUAUGAAUGGACAUUGUUGUAUGAAAAAAAAAAUCCCCUGUACACGCCAAUGACCCAUUAAAACCGGUCAUAAACGCUCACCGCAGACUUCUAGCUGCAGUUCCGUGGAGCUGGAGCCUCUCUCGUUGUGGGCAUGGCAGCGGUAAGUUCCAGAGUCUGAUUGGUUGACGGCUGGGAUGAAGAGUGAGGUGGCGCGUUGAUAACCACGGGAACCAGGCAGCAUGUGUGAGGCGUUUGAUACAUUAGGAUGCUGCGGGGAAAAGAAGCAAAGUUGACAUCACAACAUCAACCAACCCAUAGAAUCCAAGCUCAAAAUCUUUCUGUGAGGUCACAUUUCCAUGUUAUCCAUUGUAAUAAAUAAUUGUCCUAAUUCACUUAUCUCUCCUGAUUGAACACUAAUAAAACCUCACAACAUA